CACCACACUCCUCCUCACUCCUCCUCACUCCUCCUCACUCCUCCUCACUCCUCCUCAAAAAUAAGGGUCGAAAACCACAUACACUACUACUAAUGUAGCCCCCUAUUAAAGCCAACUAUAUGACGUAUGCAUGUACUGCAUAUAUGUAUCAGUGUAUUUAUGAAUUAUGACUGUACUACUCAUCCCCCUCCCCCCUUCCUGUUCAAUGUUGACAGCUUAUAAAAUUGGUUAG
Molecule: non-coding RNA, 232 nt
Organism: Paramuricea clavata
Lineage: Eukaryota; Metazoa; Cnidaria; Anthozoa; Malacalcyonacea; Plexauridae
Source: the annotation of a GenBank genome assembly